RNAcentral lists this ribosomal RNA (447 nucleotides) under uncultured bacterium. RNAcentral's name for it is "bacterial SSU rRNA". It matches the Rfam family "Bacterial small subunit ribosomal RNA", at positions 355 to 825 of the family's 1533-position model. The record is from RNAcentral.
UCGGGAAUUUUGGGCAAUGGGCGAAAGCCUGACCCAGCAACGCCGCGUGAAGGAUGAAGUAUUUCGGUAUGUAAACUUCGAAAGAAUAGGAAGAAUAAAUGACGGUACUAUUUAUAAGGUCCGGCUAACUACGUGCCAGCAGCCGCGGUAAUACGUAGGGACCAAGCGUUGUUCGGAUUUACUGGGCGUAAAGGGCGCGUAGGCGGCAAUUCAAGUCAUCUGUGAAAUCUCCGGGCUUAAUUCGGAACGGUCAGAUGAUACUGCUUUGCUAGAGUGCAGAAGGGGCAAUCGGAAUUCUUGGUGUAGCGGUGAAAUGCGUAGAUAUCAAGAGGAACACCUGAGGUGAAGACGGGUUGCUGGGCUGACACUGACGCUGAGGCGCGAAAGCGUGGGGAGCAAACAGGAUUAGAUACCCUAGUAGUCCCUGAGCGGGCUGGCAAGGCGCAU